This 599-nucleotide ribosomal RNA is filed under the name Persicobacter diffluens. RNAcentral's name for it is "bacterial SSU rRNA". It matches the Rfam family "Bacterial small subunit ribosomal RNA", at positions 87 to 686 of the family's 1533-position model. The record is from RNAcentral. Lineage: Bacteria; Pseudomonadati; Bacteroidota; Cytophagia; Cytophagales; Persicobacteraceae.
GCUGACGACCGGCGCACGGGUGCGUAACGCGUAUACAAUCUGCCCUUAACUGGAGGAUAGCCACUGGAAACAGUGAUUAAUACUCCAUAACACUGCACGAUCGCAUGAGAGAGCAGUUAAAGAAUUUCGGUUAAGGAUGAGUAUGCGUGACAUUAGCUAGUUGGUGAGGUAACGGCUCACCAAGGCAACGAUGUCUAGGGGUUCUGAGAGGAUGAUCCCCCACACUGGUACUGAGACACGGACCAGACUCCUACGGGAGGCAGCAGUAGGGAAUAUUGGGCAAUGGAGGCAACUCUGACCCAGCCAUGCCGCGUGCAGGAUGAAGGCGUUCUGCGUUGUAAACUGCUUUUAUAUGGGAAGAAAAAGGUCUUGCGAGACAAACUGACGGUACCAUAUGAAUAAGCACCGGCUAACUCCGUGCCAGCAGCCGCGGUAAUACGGAGGGUGCAAGCGUUAUCCGGAUUUAUUGGGUUUAAAGGGUGCGCAGGCGGCCUAUUAAGUCAGUGGUGAAAUCUUACAGCUUAACUGUGAAAGUGCCAUUGAUACUGGUAGGCUUGAGUGCGGUGAAGGUAGGCGGAAUUCCUCAUGUAGCGGUGAAA